This 397-nucleotide ribosomal RNA is filed under the name uncultured bacterium. RNAcentral's name for it is "partial 16S ribosomal RNA". It matches the Rfam family "Bacterial small subunit ribosomal RNA", at positions 523 to 918 of the family's 1533-position model. The record is from RNAcentral.
AUACGUAGGGGGCGAGCGUUGUCCGGAAUGAUUGGGCGUAAAGGGCGCGUAGGCGGCCCGGUAAGUCUGGAGUGAAAGUCCUGUUUUUAAGAUGGGAAUUGCUUUGGAUACUGUCGGGCUUGAGUGCAGGAGAGGUAAGUGGAAUUCCCAGUGUAGCGGUGAAAUGCGUAGAGAUCGGGAGGAACACCAGUGGCGAAGGCGGGUAACUGGACUGCAACUGACGCUGAGGCGCGAAAGUGUGGGGAGCAAACAGGAUUAGAUACCCUGGUAGUCCACACUGUAAACGAUGAAUGCUAGGUGUAAGAGGUAUCGACCCCUUUUGUGCCGGAGUUAACACAAUAAGCAUUCCGCCUGGGGAGUACGGCCGCAAGGUUGAAACUCAAAGGAAUUGACGGGG